UACAGAGGGUGCGAGCGUUGUCCGGAAUCACUGGGCGUAAAGGGCGCGUAGGUGGUAACCUAAGCGUGCGGUGAAAGCCCGAGGCUCAACCUCGGGUCGGCCGUGCGAACUGGGUCACUUGAGCAGAGUAGAGGCAGGUGGAAUUCCGGGUGUAGCGGUGGAAUGCGUAGAGAUCCGGAAGAACACCGGUGGCGAAGGCGGCCUGGUGGGCUCUGGCUGACACUGAGGCGCGACAGCGUGGGGAGCAAACAGG
This 253-nucleotide ribosomal RNA is filed under the name uncultured bacterium. RNAcentral's name for it is "partial 16S ribosomal RNA". It matches the Rfam family "Bacterial small subunit ribosomal RNA", at positions 524 to 776 of the family's 1533-position model. The record is from RNAcentral.